UUGUUUUCAUCGUUAUGAUUUAGUACUGAUCUUCACGCCAAUGAUCUUACUCAGAGUUUGUGAAUGGAAUACACGGAAUCUAUCAUGGUUGAACUCGCUAAUAAAUCAAAUUAAGAAGCACCAUGACCGGUAUGAUAUCUUUUAGUUGAGAUUAUUGUGCUUCUUUAUCGAAUUUCAUCCUUUAGAUGCCAAAAUAUAAAUAUCCUAGAUUGAUUGUCUUAAUUGAUUCUUCGCCUCUCGUCUCGUGUUUUAGUUUCAAUUAGAAUUAUGCUUUGUAUUCGUCCAUCAAGGAUGAAAAUUUGAGUACAUGGUUCGAGUUCAUCUCUCAACUCAUGGUUUUACAUCUUAAUCGAGUUGAUUAUAUCAAAGAGUAAGUAUUUUUGCAUCUCUUAGGAAGUGGGUUCUGGUUUACUUUAUCUCCUAGAGUUUUAAUUUAGUUUGAGUUCAUGAGUUUUUAUUGAAACCCUAAUUAUUAGUAUUAAGGGUUUUGAUUUUGUUAUUUGCAUUCAAUAUAUUUGUUUUACUAUGUGAGUAAAUAAAUGUUUAAUGUAUAUUACCAAGAAGUUCUUGUACUAGAGCUUAAGAGUUGGACGGGGCUGAUGACACUACGCCAUAAGUGCUCAUAUGCAACGCUCAAUAGUGUUGCCUUAUACCCCAAAUGGUGUUGCCUUAGGCACGAAAUCGAGAUAUGCAACACUUCCUGAGCGUUGCAUAUGCGAGCCUUGCCUUUGACCUAUAAGGCAACGCUUAUGGCUAUAUAAUGCAACACCGAAUAUGUAUUGCAUUAUACCUAUAAUGCAACACCACAGUUUCAUAAAGGCAACAUUUAUUGGUGUUGCCCCUAAAGAUGGACACACAACAGAGAUGGGUACCACGUCAUCUGCCACGUCAGCUGGGUCCCUCCUGACACGUCAUUGAUGAGUCACUUGCCAUGUCAUUGAUGAGUGUCUCUUUCCACGUCAUGGGUGGGUCCCACAUGGUCCAAAUAUUUAGUGGGUCCCACAUAUCUUUUGCAACAUCAUAUAUUUUAAUAUGCAACACUAUGUUGUUUAUAUUUGUAACACUGAUAAAUUAAAUAUGAAACACUAAAUAAAUAUAAAUUGCAACACUGGAAAAAGUAAAAUGCAACAAUUUUUAUAAAAAUUUUGCAAUAUCAGUCUUGUACAUUCUUAAAUCCCUUCCUAAACAAGCCAUCAAACUACAAAGCAACUCUAUCAUAAUUUUAAACCGGAACAUCAAAAAUCAAUUGUAAAGUAUACAUGUCAGUGUUGGGUGCUAAGUCAUUCAUUGCUACUUCAUCAUUCGGACCAUACAUUGUCUUCUGUCUUCUGUGCUAGGCUGAUCGGCUCUUUUCUGCCAUUGCGAGGAAUAGGUUCUCUCAGCCUUUUAUCUGAAUAACACCAUUUGCGAUGUUUGGCCAAAGAGCAACCAAAUGUUGUUAUCUGCAGCACAGAAGUUGAAAGAAAAAAAAUGAUAUAAAGAAAUGAACAAUAUUCUUCCUAUAAGAGAAAGGCUGAUAUACAAUGGACCACCUCAAAUCAAAUAAAUCAUAUAUGCAACAACCAAUACUUCAUAUCAAAAGAAAGUGUUGAUGAAAAACAGGAAAUUGUAACUAAAGAAAUUGAUACACACAGGAUGAAACACAUAGAUCUAUAUAUAAAAUGUAUAGAUCUCUACAUACAAUGUAUAGAGCUAAAAGCUCCUUUGCCAAUCUGCCCUAGUACUUCAUACUGCUCGAUAUCUCAGUCAACUUGUCACAUUUACACAUAGAAGAUAAAAUGUACGAGUCCGAUUACACAUUCCAAUAAUCAAUAAUGAUUCAAAGUAAAAACCAAACUUGCUUUCUGCCUUGCAAAGCUUUGCCAGGAUACAGAAAAUAAAAAAGAGUUAAAAUGCACAAUAAAGUUAUUACCUAAAUCCAAUAGAUAUGAUCUACUAAAGCAGUCUUAGGCCUAUCAAGCUAUUAAUGUUAUUAAAAACUGCCAACUAUACAAUAUAUUUAACUGUGUAAGUAGGCACUUACAACAAAGUCACCAGCGUUAAUGAAGUUGAGGACUCCGUUAUCUCCUGUCGUGUGCAAAAGAGCCAUAAAUUGGCUAGCUGUCACAACUAAAAACUCAAGAAGAAUUAUUAUCCUGAACCUGUGGCUUAUUUUGGAUAAAUAGUAGGUUAAACGCAUGUGCUCCUCAAUAUAUACUGAAACAUCCAAAUCCUUCUCAAAUAGCUUCCCAUAAUUCUCAAAAUGUAUUACUUGCAGGUUUCCAACAAAACAAAACAGACCUGUGCCUGAUAGAAACAGCAGAGUGGAGUAAGUCCAACACAGCAGUGAAGCUAUUAAACAGCCAACAGAUUGCCACCAUGGUAUUAAUUCAAAAUCAUAAAAGUCUACAACUCAAAAUACUCUUCUAACUUCUGGCUACAAAGUACAUUUCUUAAUCAGGUUUGGACUAGUUCUUUACAACUAAGAAGGCAACACGUAUAAUGCGUUACAUGAUCCCAGCAGUGCUCAUAAGUCAUAACAUUUCAGAUCACUAGAACCCUACAUGAUCAACCAGCAGGAUAAUACUAACUUAUAACAAGUAGUUAAGUAAAAGUAUUAGACUAAACAAGAUGUACUUACUACAUACUAGAGUCAACUUAAAGGGAGAUGCAGAAAUGCAUAAAACCUUCACCAACAAUGCUCAAUUUCAAGGUCUGGAAUUAUUUUAAUUUUCUGUCAAUGUUUAAUUAUUUUUAUUUUCUUAACACAAGCCAAUAUUCAGUCACCACUAAAAAAUUAAACUACAGUAUUAUAAUUUAAGAAGGUGAUCAUUGGUCCAAAUAUGAUAUAUAAGUUACUAAACAAGGCCUAUUUUUCUAUGCAUAUACGGAUAGAAACAGGAGAAGGUAUAUAGCAGGGGAGACAUCAAAAUAUAGAAAAGGAAGCAAAUAGAACAGUCAUGCACCCAUAUGUAUAAGAGUGCCAGUACAACUCAAUUUUAUGCACCCAGCCCCCAGGUCGCCUUUAUGUAUUUCAUGAACCCCCAAUUUCAAAGCCCUAAACGUGUGUAAGAACAAAAGCUUAAUUAACAGAGCAAAUGCGUAUAUCAAAACAAAACCCCAAUCAAUUGUAACAAUAACAAAUAUGCACUCCUAUAUAUUUACCAAUUAACCUGAGUGAAAGAGUAAAAGCCCCGAUCUGAAGCCCUAAUCACCUGCAAAAUUAAAACAAAAUCGGUAAAAGCCUACUAAUUGGAGCCAAAGACAUGUGUAUUCAAAUACCAAAUCUUAAAUUUAUCCUUCACUUCGUCCUUCAGGUUUGUUCUCGAGAGAGUAAAUCGAGAAAGAGUUGAGAGUAGAGAGAGAGAGGCAGAGAGCUGAGUCCUUCAAAUAAUGUGUUUUCAUUUGAGGGGGAAAUAAUGCCGCCCACCAUUUCACUGGACAACUUUUCGCUUGGAGGGAGUUUUACCGCCUCGACGAUUCCACUCUAAAGAACUGGUUUUCAAAAUUUUUGAAUUACUUAAUUAAAUUAUAAUUUGUUAAAACUAAAAUUUUAAAUAAUAUAUAUGUGAAAUAUUUACUUAUAUAUAUUAUAAUAAUAAGUUAAAUAUUAUAGUAUAAUUAAUAUUAAAUUUUUAAGGGAAAAAAGUAUUAGAACAAAGAUAUCAAUAUACAUUACUUAAUGAUAUAUUUAAUUUUUAUAAUUAGACUACCUUCUUGGACCGCUUUGACUAUUAUAAACUCACAGCUUCUAAAUAUGGAAAUUUUUGAAAAAAAAUUCUUAUUACUAAAUUUGGUAGAUAUUAACAUCCGUACGGUUGGAUCGUCAAGAAUGAAUUUUAAAAAAAUAGAAUUUGUAUUCGGGACAACACUGCUUAAUUGACUACCUUCUAGGACCGCUUUGACUAUUAUAAACUCACAUUUUUUAAAUAUGAAAAUUUUUGAAAAAAAUUUCUUAUUGCUAAAUUUGAUAGAUAUUAACAUCCGUACGGUUGGAUCGUCGAAAAUGAAUUUAAAAAAAAUAGAAUUCGUAUUCAGGACAACACUGCUUAAUUAGACUACAUUCUUGGACCGCUUUGACUAUUAUAAACUCACACCUUCUAAAUAUGGAAAUUUUUGAAAAAAAAUUCUUAUUACUAAAUUUGAUAGAUAUUAACAUCCGUACGGUUGGAUCGUCUAGAAUGAAUUUUAAAAAAAUAGAAUUUGUAUUCGGGACAACACUGCUUAAUUGACUACCUUCUUGGACUGCUUUGACUAUUAUAAACUCACACCUUCUAAAUAUGAAAAGUUUUGAAAAAAAUUUCAUAUUACUAAAUUUGAUAGAUAUUAACAUCCGUACGGUUGGAUCGUCGAAAACAAAUUUUAAAAAAAUAGAAUUCGUGUUCGGGACAACGUGAGUUAAUUGGACUAUCCACUUUGACCACAAAUGACUAUUAUAGUUUAGUUAUGCAACACACAACAUAAAUGAAAGGUUGGUGGAGUGGUGUGUAACAUGUUUUGAUACAUGAGAGGUCAGGGGUUCAAUUCCCUUGGCCUUCAAAAAUUUUCAAAGAUUUUUAUAUCAAAAUGGGUCAGUAGGACCCACUGCCACGUCACAAAAAUGGGUCCAGAGGUGGGCCCCACUGCCACGUCAGCCUCUAGGGCCCAUUGCCACGUCACCUGAAUGGGUCCAGACGUGGGGUCCACCGCCACGUCACCUGAAUGGGUCCAGAGGUGGGGCCCACUGCCACGUCACCAAAAUGGGUCCAGCAGUGGGGACCACUGCCAUGUCAGCAUGUGGGACCCACUGCCACGUCACCAAAAUGGGUCCAGCAGUGGGGACCCUGCCACGUCAGCACGUGGGACCCACUGCCACGUCAGCAAAAAUGGGUCCAGCAGUGGGACCCACUGCCACAUUAGCACGUGGGACCCACUGCCACGUCAGCAAAAUGGGUCCAGCAAUGUCUACUGCUAUAACGCAACACUACAAACUCCUAUAAUGCAACGCUGUUUGAGUUCUGUUGCAGAAGAUAGAAAACCAAGGGUCUAUUGCAAUACUUUCCAUGCAACACUAGGAAUACGCGUUGCAUAUGAGCACUUAUGGCGUAGUGUGAAAAUGCAGCAGCUUCGCCCCCUAGACACAGCUCUUUAUGCUUUUAUCGGAUCUUCUUCAGAAGUUAAAGUUUUAUUUUAUGGUAUAUUGCUAUGUAAACAUGUGCAUGUGGUUGCUUUUGUCUUUUAUUGUUAUCGUUGAAAGUUAGUAGAGUUUUGGUAUAGUUAGUAGAGUUCUAAGCAAGGUGCUAAUAAGAUGUGCCAUUUUCUUGGAGAAAUCGAUGUUUGUGUUCUUGUGCUGUGCAUCUACACGUACAAGUCAUCAGCAUGCACUACAAGGAAAACAGCAUCAGACAAGCGUUUUUGCCCGUUGUCUGACACCUCGAAAAACCGUGGUCUAUCGAGGCGCCGAUACGCAUAUCAGACAACGGGUCGAACGUUGUCUGAGUGUGGGCAACACGAUGGUUCACUUUAACUAAAACGUUGUGCAACACCCAGAAACAACAACGGGAUUAAUAAAAGGAAAUGUUGUUGUAAACGAUUCAUAACAAUAGUCAUUUUCUAAAUUUGUGUUGUUAAAUAAGACUAUCCACAACUGUUUUUGUAGUUAGCUAGACUUGUUGGCAAGAGGAUCAUACAACGAAAUUUGGAGUAGAGAUGAUCGUUGUUUACUCUCUAGUACAACGGUUUUAGAGCACAAGAUCACUUGUGCAAGGAUCCUUCUAACAAUAUUUCAGCUUUUGAAACAAUUGUGUGAAAGCUCUUUUACAAUGGUUUUUCUUGCACAAAAGGUCGUCGUAUAUAGAUAUAGACAACGGGUUUAGUUUUUUUGUUAACUUGUUUGUGUGCCUCUUUCACAACAAUUUUAUUUAUAAAAAUAUAUUGUAUGUAGACAUUGAGACAACAGUUAAUUUUUUAAUCUUGCCAGUUUGUUGUCUUUAGCAUAUUUGGACAAGUGUUUCUAUUUCAUUACUUUUGUAAAUAAUAUGUUUAGACAAUGGUUUUAUCACAAGGAGUGAUUGUGCAAGUUUUAUCAGACAAUGCUCUUUAAGACCGUGAACAUUGUAUAAUGUUAUUUAUAACAACUGGCAUGUAUAUUUUCCAUUAGCUAAAAGUAUAAAAGACAAUGGUUUUACACAACCCAAUUAAACUAAUAUAGAUAAUUUAAUUAAGAAGCAAACAAUUAGUAAGCUAAAUUUCUCCAAGGAAUACUAUUAAGACAAAUGUAUAAUAAAAUGUUUUGACAUUACAAUGAAUACUUAUUUUUGUGACAUUGUUGAAAGCCAAGUUGACAACACCACUGCAUGAAAAAAAGUGAAUCAUAUGAAGCCUCUCAACAUCCCUUGACCUGGAAAAAAGAGAAAAAAUUAGAGAAAUGAUGGAGUAAUGCUACAAUUAAUCUACCACUCAAGUGUUUCACUUAGGCAUAUAACUUAUAAGAGUGAGUUGAAGUAAGACUUACUAUAUUUGUUAUAAUAUAUAUAAGAUAUAUAUGACCCGUUGUUACAGUACGUAUAAGAUAUAAAAUAGAAUCUGAUAUGCAUGUAGACUCGAAUAACAUAAUAAUACACAGUUACUCUAAUUAAAUCACAUUAUCUCUUUAAAUAUGCAUAGACAAAAAUAAUUGCCCUAGAAAUUUUGUCUUUAAAAGAUGAAUUACAACAAGAUUCUCACAGGUCUUUAGAAGCCACUAAUGAGCACCAAACCGGACUUAAUCUUCUGUCAUGUCUGAUGUUGUUAGCAUCUAACAAAGCCUGCAGAGAAACAUUUGAAUUUUUCUAGAAGUAUUUGCCUUUUUUGGACUCAAACUUAACAACUUCUGUCUUUCACAAUCAGGAGGGUGUAAAUCAGUCCCAUUCUUUUUAUCUCUGGUUUUCCUUUUAGUUCUAAAAGAAAGUUAUUUAGUCUUCACAACAUUUGUAGGUUCUGACUUGGAUGCAGAUUCUUGUAAGGUAGACAUUGAGAAUUUACACCUAUUUGCAACUUCUACCAGAAAGUUCAGAGACUUCCAUUAAAUCAACAUGAGAAUUCAAAAGUCAUCUUAAAACUAUUUUUUAUGUGUGAUAACAUCUUCUGCCCUUUAUACAUUCACAUCCCAUGCAUACCUUCACACCCAAACAUCAUAAUAUCCUUGACAUGGUCACAAUUUCAAUACAGAGCAUUAACAAUUAUAAUUAUGCUUGAAUUGAAAGUUAAGGAAAUUAUAUCCAUUCAUGUUAGUUCCAAGUACCAAAAACAAAAAUAUAUCACACAACAAAUUUCACAAAGCCGAUCACAGUUUUAAUACAAUGGAAAAAAAUCAUACAGCAAACACAAAUUCAACUCAAACCCAUCAAAAAAUACACACCCCCUCCAUCUUACACACAUACAUGAAACUAAACAAAAACAAAUUACCUAAUAGGCCGUCUAUCAAAAUGAGCCCAAAAUUUAUCAUCAAAAUCAGCUUCUUCGGCCACUUUAUUCUCUGAAUCUUUGAGUUUCCACUUUAGGCUCGAAUUGAAGCAAUUAGCUUGUUGCAGACAAAAUCUACAAAAGAAAAUCGAACAUGAGAAACAGUAGAAAGCCUUGGUAAUUGAAAAGGCUAAACAAAAGAUGUUAAUUAUGCAUAAUUAUACAUCCUGCAUCUACAAAACAUCCAUUCCCAAAGAAACCCAUAGCAAGCUUAAAUUACUCCCAGAACAAAAAUACAAAACAAAACUAUACAAAAAAAAUCAAGAGAGAGAUAGAGAGAGAGAAUUGAAGAUACAAAACUCCAUGGCCCAAAACUAAAAUUAAAUUAGUAAAAUCAUCUCUCUCCUCAUCAUAAUAUAAUUGGUUGUUAAACUGAGCAGCAUGGUCAACGCCUCCAUCGGAAACUUAUAUGGUCCGCCGGGUCACUGCCAAUGGCAACAGAUCUGGGAGUUUUGUCGAAAAUCAAAUAGAGAGGGGGAGGGAGGGAGGGAGGGAGAGGGGCGAAUAUAGAAAUCAGGGGAGAGAGGGAGGGAUAUGCUCUGUGACGAGAGGAAGAGAAAGAUGUAGAACAAGAGAGAUGCUCAUCUGAAUCUCUGCCUUACAAAUCUAACAGGGGGAAGUGAAAAUUUGGGUUAAUAGAUAAAGGGGGGAAAUGAAAAUUUGGGUUAAGAGAUAAGGGGGGAAGUGAAAACGUUUGUUGAGGGAUGAAAUUGACUGAUACGGGAGUUAGAAAAACUAUGAAUAUAAUAUACAUAACAAAAUUAAUGUACUGUAAUAUCCAGUGUAGUUGAAUUCUUAAACAUGAUUUUUUUUUUAUAUUUAUCUAGUUGAUUACAAAAAUAUCAUAUUAAAUAAUUUUUAAAAAUAUUAAUAUUUUAUUAUGUGUAAAAUUUAUUUCUAAAAUACAAAAUUAUCUUAUAAAAUUUUCUUUUAAAAAAAUAUUUCUUUCUUAAGAGUUAAAAAUUCUCGUUUCCUCGAUCAAUUUCGAUUUUCGUACUCUUUAACUUAGAAAAAUAUUUUAUAUUACCUAUAUAUGCAAAUAUACAUUGUUCAUUUGUAAUAAAAAGAUAUCACAUAAAAUAAGAAAAUAAUUAUUUUAGCAUGUGAGUAAUUUAUUAGUAUGUGAAUAAUCAAUUUUUUGACAAUCCAACCGAAUUCUAAUACCAACUAAUCUAAGUAAUUAAUGAUGUGAAAAUAUAAUUAUAAAACAAGAAGACAAUCUUGUAUAAUUUAUUUAAGAAAAAUCCAGUAAAACUAUUGUAUAACAAAUUUUCUUUUUAAGAGUUAAAAUUUUUCGUUUACUUGAUCAGUUCUUGUAUUUGUAAUUAUUAAUUAGUAAUUAUUUUUGGAUUAAUAUUGUGUUAAUUAUUAAUUAUUAAUUAUUUUUGGGAUUUGACGUGAGUAUUAGUAAGUGUUUUAUGUUCACGAGUUAGGAAGUAUUGGAUAGAAAUUUUGUUAUUUACAAGAUUUGCUCUGAAUUAGUUUAUAAUUUGUUUUAAAUGAUCUGUCCCUAUGGAUGUUAAUAACUAACAAUAUUAGUCAUGCACAAAAAAAUUUAGAUUUUUCUAUGUUUAUUUUGUAUGACAAAACUAGUCAAUCAUAAGUUUUGUCUUAUUAUAAAAAGGUAAUUUUUGUCUCAUAGUAUCUAACAGACAACGGUAUUUAUACGCACGUGUGUUGUACGAGUUAAAAUAACACAACUGUUAUCGACAUUAUACCGUUGUAACAUAAUUUAUUGUCUAAAAUAGGCUCAAACAACGUUUCUGGAAAAACCCGUUAUAUGUAAAUAGUGUAGACAACGGUUUCUGGGAGGGAAACCGUUGUAUAACAAAUUUUCAUUUUUAAGCGUUAAAUAUUCACAUUUCCGUGAUCAAUUUUAUUUUUUGUUACCCUUUGUCUUAACAAAUAUAUUUAUAUUAUGCAUAUAUGCAGAUAUCUAUUGUUCAUUUGUACUAUGAAGAUAAUUUUGUAGUUCGGACGUGAGUAUUAGUAUGUGUUUUAUGUUUACAAUUUAGAUUGUACUAAAUAGAAUGUUUGUUAUGUAUACAAUUAACUCUAUAUUAAUUUAUAAAUUUUUGUUUUGAUGAUCUAACCGUACGGAUGUCGAGAACUAACAAUAUUAGUCAUGUGUAAAAAAUUUUAAAAUUAUUUAUGUUUAUUUUGUAUGUUUUUUAACAAUACUUGUCAAUCGUAAAUUUUGUCUUAUUAUAAAAAGGUAAUUUUUGUCAUGUAGUGUCUUAACACACAACAGUUUUUAUACGCAACUCUGUUGUAUCAUUGACGAAGAUAAUUUUGUAGUUCGGACGUGAGUAUUAGUAUGUGUUUUAUGUUUACAAUUUAGAUUGUACUAAAUAGAAUGUUUGUUAUGUAUACAAUUAACUCUAUAUUAAUUUAUAAAUUUUUGUUUUGAUGAUCUAACCGUACGGAUGUCGAGAACUAACAAUAUUAGUCAUGUGUAAAAAAUUUUAAAAUUAUUUAUGUUUAUUUGUAUGUUUUUUAACAAUACUUGUCAAUCGUAAAUUUUGUCUUAUUAUAAAAAGGUAAUUUUUGUCAUGUAGUGUCUUAACACACAACAGUUUUUAUACGCAACUCUGUUGUAUCAUUGAUAAUGACACAACUGUUAUGGAACUUAACUGUUGUAAGAGAAUCUAUUGUCUAAAAUAGGCUCAAACAACGCUUCGGGGAAAACCCGUUGUAUAAAAGUUGUGUAGACAACGGUUUAUAGGAAGAAAAUCGUUGUAUAAAAGUUGUGUAGACAACGGUUUAUAGGAAGAAAAUCGUUGUAUAAUAAAUUCUCAUUAAAGAGUUAAAAAUUCGCAUUUUCUUGAUCAAUUCUUGUUUUUGAACUGUUUGUCUUAACUAAUAUAUUUAUAUUAUGCAUAUACGCAAAUAUUUAUUGUUCAUUUGUACUAUGAAAAUAAUUUUGUAGUUCAGACAUGAGUAUUAGUAUGUGUUUUAUGUUUGCAAUUGAGAAAGUACUGAAUAGAAUCUUUGUUAUGUAUACAAUUAGCUCUGUAUUAUUUUAUAAAUAUUUUUUUCGAUGAUCUGACCGUACGGAUGUCGAGAACUAACAAUAUUAGUCAUGCAUCAAAAAAAUCAAAAUAAUUUAUGUUUAUUUUGUAUGUUUUUUUAACAAUACUAGUAAAUCGUAAAUUUUGUCUUAUUAUAAAAUGGUAUUUUUUGUCCUAUAGUGUUCAACAGACAAUGGUUUUUAUACGCACCUAUGUUGUAUAAUUGAAAAUGACACAACUGUUACAGAAGUUAUACCGUUGUAAGAGAAUCAAUUGUCUAAAUUCAGCUCAAACAAUGCUUCACGAAAAACCCGUUGUAUAAAAGUAGUGUAGACAAUGAUUUAUGGGAAGGAAACCGUUGUAUAAUAAAUUUUCAUUUUUAUGAGUUAAAAGUUCGCAUUUCCUUGACCAAUUAUUCAUCUAAUGCAAGAAAAACCUAUGACUAUCAAGAAAUUGAUUAUUUUGUUAUAACUUCGGUUAGUUAUUUUGAAUAUUUGUACUCUCUUAUGUACAUUUAUUUUCUUAAAAUUCAUUCGGUCAGACAACAUUUUAUUAGUUAGUAGAAGCUUGUUUAUAAGGUCAUCAUACAAUGCUAACAAAAACACUUGUAUGUUAGCUUCCCAGUCACACAACACUAUAUGGAACCCUUGUAUGAACUUUUCGUAAACAACACAACAAAUAAAACACUUGUCUCAUUAUAACAACGGUUUCUUCGAAUAUUGUCUGAGGUUUCUUUACACAAUAGCACCAAAAACAGUUGUCUAUCGUGCAUCAUUACACAAUACCACAGUUAAGACACCGUUGUCUGAUUGAAUUUACUAGACAAUAUUUUUUUAACCAUUGUAGGUCGUGGUGUUAAACAAUAGUUUUUCGAGGAUGAAAAUAAACCGUUGUAUCUCGUUUUCGGCCAACGCUUUUUUCAGCGUCCGUUGUCUGAUCAGUGUUGUCUGAUUCAAGUUUUCUUGUAGUGAUGUAAUCUCAGCAGUGAUCUUGCAAAGAUUAAUUUACUCAUCAUCUCAGAAAAAUUGUGCAGAGAAUUAGAACCUGAAGAGGAGUCAUGGGAAGUUCUCUUCGCAGCAUCUCAGAAUCCUUAAAUGGAUCUAGCUUCUCUAUACACUCAAGUUCUUCUUUAGAAAAGGGAAUUGAAGCUUGAGGCCAAGGGAUCCAUUCAAAAUAAAGUGGUCAUAGUCAAGAAUGUAAGCAGCAACUUCUCUAAAUCCUUUUUCCUGACCCUUACAGAAUGCUUCCAACCUGGCUGUCCAAGCACUUUUUCCACAAGGUCUUUAGGGUUAUUUGGUGCAAAAGGUUCUUCAUCAGUUGCCUUUACUAUAGCCCACUAAGAACAAGAAUUGAAAAGCUUGGGAAGAAGAAUAUGUGAGAUGGUUAGAAUCUCUGCACGAUGCAGAUGCCGCCAGUACAGCGAGCAUAGGUACAGGGAGCACGGAUAUAGAAAGCACCACUACAGGGACCGCCAGUACAGGGAGCAUGGGUACAGGGAGCAAAAGGAUGACUAUGACAAUCAUCGGGCUUACAAGGAUGAUUGUGAUCGGACAAAUCGGCAGGAUCUAAGGGCAAAACGCGUGUUGUGGAGGAGGAUCACAGAUCUCGUUCAAGGGAUUCUUACCAACAAGGGUUGCCAAAGUGACGCAAUAGGUGUAUGAGAUUAGCCGCUUUACCUUGACAGGUACCAACAAGGUGCUGGUUUAUCAUGGAUCC
RNAcentral lists this long non-coding RNA (12188 nucleotides) under Daucus carota (carrot). RNAcentral's name for it is "long non-coding RNA (DCAR_LNC000399)". Lineage: Eukaryota; Viridiplantae; Streptophyta; Magnoliopsida; Apiales; Apiaceae. The record is from RNAcentral.